UUCCGGUUGAUCCCGCCGGACCCGACUGCUAUUUGGGUGAGACUAAGCAAUGCGAGUUGAAUGGGAUGCCUAAAUAUCCCAUAGCAAACUGCUCAGUAACACAUGAUCAACUUACCCUAUAGAGAAGAAUAACCUCGGGAAACUGAGGAUAAUGUUUCAUAGUUGAAACGGCUUGGAAAAGUUUUUCAAUAAAAAGAAUAAGAAAAAUGGUUCUUAUUCGCUAUAGGAUAGGAUCGUGGACGAUUAUGGUUGUUGGCGAGAUAACGGCUCACCAAGCCGAUAAUCGAUAGGGGCCGUGAGAGCGGGAGCCCCGAGAUGGGUACUGAGACAACGACCCAGGCCUUACGAGGCGCAGCAUGCGCGGAACCUCCGCAAUACACGAAAGUGUGACGGGGUUACCCAAAGUGUUCAAUUUUGAACUGUGGUAGGUGAGUAAUGUUCCCUACUAGAAAGGAGAGGGCAAGGCUGGUGCCAGCCGCCGCGGUAAAACCAGCUCUUCAAGUGGUCGGGAUAAUUAUUGGGCUUAAAGUGUCCGUAGCCGGUUUAGUAAGUUCCUGGUAAAAUCGGGUAGCUUAACUAUCUGUAUGCUAGGAAUACUGCUAUACUAGAGGGCGGGAGAGGUCUGAGGUACUACAGGGGUAGGGGUGAAAUCUUAUAAUCCUUGUAGGACCACCAGUGGCGAAAGCGUCAGACUGGAACGCGCCUGACGGUGAGGGACGAAAGCCAGGGGAGCGAACCGGAUUAGAUACCCGGGUAGUCCUGGCCGUAAACGAUGCAUACUAGUGAUGAUACGGCCAUGAGCCGUAUCAGUGCCGUAGGGAAACCGUUAAGUGUGCCGCCUGGGAAGUACGGUCGCAAGGCUAAAACUUAAAGGAAUUGGCGGGGGAGCACACAAGGGGUGAAGCCUGCGGUUCAAUUGGAGUCAACGCCGGA
Molecule: ribosomal RNA, 933 nt
Filed under: uncultured archaeon
Lineage: Archaea
Description: bacterial SSU rRNA
Rfam family: Archaeal small subunit ribosomal RNA
Source: RNAcentral